AUUGAACGCUGGCGGCAUGCCUUACACAUGCAAGUCGAACGGCAGCACGGGAGCAAUCCUGGUGGCGAGUGGCGAACGGGUGAGUAAAGUAUCGGAACGUGCCCAGUCGUGGGGGAUAACGUAGCGAAAGUUACGCUAAUACCGCAUACAAUCUAUGGAUGAAAGCGGGGGAUCGCAAGACCUCGCGCGAUUGGAGCGGCCGAUAGCAGAUUAGGUAGUUGGUGGGGUAAAGGCUCACCAAGCCGACGAUCUGUAGCUGGUCUGAGAGGACGACCAGCCACACUGGGACUGAGACACGGCCCAGACUCCUACGGGAGGCAGCAGUGGGGAAUUUUGGACAAUGGGCGAAAGCCUGAUCCAGCCAUGCCGCGUGCAGGAUGAAGGCCUUCGGGUUGUAAACUGCUUUUGUACGGAACGAAAAGGUUUGGCCUAAUAAGCUGAGCUCAUGACGGUACCGUAAGAAUAAGCACCGGCUAACUACGUGCCAGCAGCCGCCGCGG
This 500-nucleotide ribosomal RNA is filed under the name uncultured bacterium. Its description in RNAcentral is "partial 16S ribosomal RNA". It matches the Rfam family "Bacterial small subunit ribosomal RNA", at positions 30 to 523 of the family's 1533-position model. The record is from RNAcentral.